Molecule: ribosomal RNA, 463 nt
Filed under: uncultured bacterium
Lineage: Bacteria
Description: partial 16S ribosomal RNA
Rfam family: Bacterial small subunit ribosomal RNA
Source: RNAcentral
GACGAACGCUGGCGGCGUGCUUAACACAUGCAAGUCGAACGGUGAACCUCUUCGGAGGGGAUCAGUGGCGAACGGGUGAGUAACACGUGGGCAACCUGCCCCCGGCUCUGGGAUAACUCCAAGAAAUUGGGGCUAAUACCGGAUGUUCACCGCUUCCCGCAUGGGUGGUGGUGGAAAGGGUUUCCGGCUGGGGAUGGGCCCGCGGCCUCUCAGCUUGUUGGUGGGGUAGUGGCCUACCAAGGCGACGACGGGUAGCCGGCCUGAGAGGGUGACCGGCCACACUGGGACUGAGACACGGCCCAGACUCCUACGGGAGGCAGCAGUGGGGAAUAUUGCGCAAUGGGCGGAAGCCUGACGCAGCGACGCCGCGUGGGGGAUGACGGCCUUCGGGUUGUAAACCUCUUUCAGCAGGGACGAAGCGCAAGUGACGGUACCUGCAGAAGAAGCACCGGCCAACUACGUG